GGUUUGUGUUUUAAUUGCUGUGCUUUUUAUUCCUCCCCCCCCGAAGUCUCUUCUAACUGAGACUGCCUCUGGCUCGAGCCUCCCCAUGAGGUUUGGCAGCAGGCUGGUAGCGAAGAAGGUCUUCGGACCACAUGGUGAAGAUUUCCUUGGUGGUGCUCACUGGGAGUGCUAUGUUUCGUGACACAACCAAAGGGCGAACCGCACUUCUUCCUCUCCCGCCGCGGGAUUUGGAAGAACGGUUCCUGUACUCUCCAGCAUUUCUAGCAGGUUUCUCGUGGCGUGCGUGCAGUCCUUCAAGGAGGAGCUAUCCGAUGCAAGGGAUCCCCUGGAAGGGAAGGAAAAGAAGACAUGCAGCAUCUUCAGCUGCAGCAUCCCUGCAAAUACAGACUUGCAAUAGCUGAAUCCAAAGAGAAAAAGCAUCACAAAAAUUGAACAAGGAACCAAGAUAAAAUUAGAAGCCUCGCCAAGACCCUCCUCCCUCUCCAUCCUCACUGAGGGUGUUAUCAGUGCAGGGUAAUUCAUGAAAAGCUUGAUGGCCACCAGUGAAUGGACUUCCUGGGUUUUGGGGAUGGGAGAAGUGCUUGUGGCUUUCAUUGUGAUGGUCUAGAAUAGGGAGGAAGAUGUCUGAGAGGCAACUGCAUCUGGUGCACAGAAGGGAAAUAGCAGCAGCACUGUAAAUACAUGUUACUGGGAACUGUCAAUAGCCUUGCAUGAAAACUCAAAUGUUAGCUUAACCUGAGAAUAUUAAACACAAUAUACAAAUGUAAACCUGCUCUCCAGAAACAAAAAAGAGCAAAACAAACACAACAAAUAGGAAACUUGAUUUCAAGAUGAUUUCUUGAGGGUAUGAAUUAUCCAGCCUAAUGCAGUGAGGACUAUUUUUAUAGUAGUUGAAACUAAAACUGACAGACCGUGUUUGCCAAUGCUUACAUUACUCGGUGACACCGCUUCUUUUUAAAGCUUGCCAGAGGAAAUGCUCCAUGCUGGAACAUAUGUUGGUGAUUAGUGAGACCAGCACUGCAGGAUAAAAUGGGAGAAAUAUAGCUGUGCAGUGAAAAGCUGAAUGGACAAAAUAUAAAAUAAGGCAUGCAGUGCCUUUUCCAUUUGCUUUUAAAAUAGGCCAGGAGUAAUGUGUAUUAAAGGCUCUCUCUGAAUGUUGCAAGUCGGUUUAGGUUUAACUUGAUGGGGCAUCUCCCAAUUUUUAACUUUUUUUCUGCAUCAUGUAUAAAUUUCCCUUAAUUACCCUCUACCAUAAAGCCGGGUUUUCUACGGAGCUUCAUUCCUUGCCUUCUGCAUCCAUUUAUUGCUUGUACACUUCAGCUGUUUUGACUGGACUGAAUUGGAAGUCCUCAAAUAUGAGGGGUAGGCUCAGAAAAGGAGUUGUGUUUAGGCACCUACCUU
This 1401-nucleotide long non-coding RNA is filed under the name Crocodylus porosus (Australian saltwater crocodile). RNAcentral's name for it is "lncRNA (ENSCPRG00005012902.1)". Lineage: Eukaryota; Metazoa; Chordata; Crocodylia; Crocodylidae. The record is from RNAcentral.